Molecule: ribosomal RNA, 689 nt
Filed under: Gammarus sp. ZEH-2007e
Lineage: Eukaryota; Metazoa; Arthropoda; Malacostraca; Amphipoda; Gammaridae
Description: partial 28S ribosomal RNA
Rfam family: Eukaryotic large subunit ribosomal RNA
Source: RNAcentral
AAGACGCGAUAACCAGCCCACCACGGCACGUUGUGAGGUCACCCACAGGCUUGACUUUCGAUUGUGAGCCUUGACGCCGAGCAAGCACAAUGCGUGUCGCAAAUGUUCCUAACCAGGCAACGCUGCCAGGACCGUGGAACGACACGCGCUCAACAGUCAGGUUCGGGCGGAGACAGAGUUCUGGUAUGAUCCUCUUGCGACGAGCCGGCUUCUGGCCAACAUCCGAUGCUCAGGUCUCCCGCAUGUGCCGCGGGAGAUCGCCUUGACGGUCUGGAUCUUUCACGAGUCCUCUCAGUCGGGCAACGGAUAGAGUGGUGUAAAGUCCAAGCCCAUCGGUCACGUCUCGAAACACGGGCCAAGGAGUAUAGCAUGUGUGCAAGUCUAAGAGUCUCACAAAACUCGAAGGCGAAGUGAAAGCAAGUAAGCGGCGGGUGAUCUACGGAGAGAUCCCGUCAGCUAGAGGGGCCCUUGGGCCUCUCCGGCUUUGGCAGAGUUGAUCCUGCAGUGGUACCGCACACGUACGCUCAGGCGCAAACUCCAGGCUCACGUUUCGCACUGGUUCUCGGACUGUGCUGUGAGCACUGUGGAGCAUGCAUGCUAUGACCCGAAAGAUAGUGAACUAUGCCUGGCGAGGGCGAAGCCCCAGGAAACUGGGGUGGAGGCCCGUAGCCGUUGUGACGUGCAAAUCC